CCCGCGAGGUAGAGCCUGCUGCCCACCAAGGUGGCCGCCUCUGGGUCACAGCUGGGCUGGCCCUGGGGCCCAGGCCCUGGUCAGCUGGAGAUGCUGCUGUGGGCAGAGUGGCACCUCUGAGCUGUCCAGCAUAUCCUCAAGGGUCAUGGCAGUGACCUCAGGCACCCGCAGGCCACCCAGGCUCAGGACCGACACCAAGUGCUGCUCCCUAACAGGAUGUGUAUUAGAACGAGCAGACAGGCUCGGGACGCGGGGAUGGCAGACAGAGACAGGCAGAGCACCAGCACCGUUUCCUCAACGACAGCUGGCACUUGUCCUCCUCCAGAGUCUUGGCACUGAUCCUGCGUCCCCAGGGCUCUGUGCUGGGCUUGCAUCUGGGAAGGGGCCUCAGGGAUGCGGAGAGCUGGGGGGCAGGGGCCGGUGGGGUGGGGGCCGCUGCAGGUGGAAGCCUCCUUUACCUCCUUUCUAGAAGGUGCUGCAGGUGGGCAGGCAGUGGGCAGUGAGGGUGUGGCCAGCCCAGCCCCCUUUGCUCCCACCGACCCUGUCCGUGGUCACUGCCGUCAGAGACAAACUUGGGCCAGUUUUGUUCUGGGCAGGUGUCCCAGGCUUCUCUCCUGUUUGAUGUCAGAGCGGUGAAACCUGACCAUGCCGUUAUCACCCUGGUGUUGUAAUCAGCACUGGAACAAACUUCCCUGAGUUUUGCCGGCUGCCAUCAGCUCCUGGCUCCACUGAGCUAUGUGCACAGCACGCCUCGCUUUGCCCUCGGCUCCUUAACCUCCUCUUCCUUGGGCUGGUGGGGGACAGGGCCCCACACCUGCACACAUUCAUUCUCUUUUUGUUACCUGAUCUGGGAACAAGAGCAAGGCUGAAGGACACAGAGGAGGGGUGCACUGACAAGUCCCCCUGGCAUGGGGAGGGAACAGAGAGGCCCGGAUCGGCCGGGAAGAAGCCCGACCCUGUGCUACUGGCCUCUGGGAGGCUCUGCUUCCGGCCAGCCGGGAGGCGAUAAGCCAGGGGCAGGUGAAUCGCUGCCAGGAAACCGAGGCACCUUGGAGCCAGAAGCACCUAGACUACCAGCUCUCUUCUCCUGGUACCCGACAACCAGGCCAGCCGCCGAGCCAGCCUCUGCACACACAGCCAAGGAGCCGUGCAGGAGCCCCGCGCCCCCACAGCGCCCCCACAGACCCUUCCCGAGCACCGAGUCGCAAGAAUCCAGGCCCAGCCACCUACCUGAAGGAGCCAGUAGCACCUCCGGUGAAAGUUCUCCCUCCCUUCUCCAGCUUGCUCCCUCCAGGACCCAGCCCUACGGAGAGGCCUGAGCUGAGCCUGGUUCGUGCCAGGCGCCCUGGAGGAGCAGAGGGAGCCCAGACAAUUCUGCUGGCCACAAGCUUGGCCCUGAUGAUGCCGCUGUGGACAUUCGACAAGAAGCUGACUCAGAGGGCCCAAAGGCCUGGUGCACCCCUCACCUUGGCCUGGCCUCAACUGGGGCCUCCCAGGACAGCCACUGUCCCUCUGCGUCUGUUCCUCAGGUCUCCUCCAGGAGGCUGUCCUGCUCCAGCCCUCUGGUCAGAGUCCCCAGAAACAGCCCACCAGGAAAGGAAUGGAUGCUGGCGGUGGUACACACCUAGGGGUGGGUUUGGCUGGGGAACUAUACACAUCUGACUGCUCCAAUCUGCCUUUAAAUGACAGCAAGUGACUGUGGCUGUGUGCCAAUGAGAUUUGAAUUUUACACAAUCCUCACAUGUCACAAAUAGUAUUCUUUCUGUGAAUUUUUGAACACUUGAAAAAUAUUUUUUAAAAAAGUUCUUAGCUCUUGGGCUGUUCAAGAGUAUGGGUUGGGUCCCAGCUUGCUGACCCCUGGUCUAGCAGAUUGGGAUACAGAACUUUCUAAAGUUCUCCACUGUCAUGUUCACAUAGUAGAUGCUUAGUAAACAGAUUCCCACAUGCUGUGAAUAUCUCAGCAGGGCCAGGAAGGAGUG
RNAcentral lists this long non-coding RNA (1979 nucleotides) under Fukomys damarensis (Damara mole-rat). RNAcentral's name for it is "lncRNA (ENSFDAG00000023987.1)". The record is from RNAcentral. Lineage: Eukaryota; Metazoa; Chordata; Mammalia; Rodentia; Bathyergidae.